RNAcentral lists this ribosomal RNA (253 nucleotides) under uncultured bacterium. Its description in RNAcentral is "partial 16S ribosomal RNA". It matches the Rfam family "Bacterial small subunit ribosomal RNA", at positions 524 to 776 of the family's 1533-position model. The record is from RNAcentral.
UACGAAGGAUCCAAGCGUUAUCCGGAUUUAUUGGGUUUAAAGGGUGCGUAGGUGGGUUGGUAAGUCAGUGGUGAAAUCCCCGAGCUUAACUUGGGAACUGCCAUUGAUACUAUCAAUCUUGAAUACCGUGGAGGUCGGCGGAAUAUGUCAUGUAGCGGUGAAAUGCUUAGAUAUGACAUAGAACACCAAUUGCGAAGGCAGCUGACUACGCGAGUAUUGACACUGAGGCACGAAAGCGUGGGGGUCAAACAGG